RNAcentral lists this ribosomal RNA (254 nucleotides) under uncultured bacterium. Its description in RNAcentral is "partial 16S ribosomal RNA". It matches the Rfam family "Bacterial small subunit ribosomal RNA", at positions 524 to 776 of the family's 1533-position model. The record is from RNAcentral.
UACGGAGGGUGCGAGCGUUGUCCGGAAUCAUUGGGCGUAAAGGGCGCGUAGGUGGCCCGGUCAGUUCGUGGUGAAAGCGCGGGGCUCAACCCUGCGUCGGCCAUGAAUACUGCCGCGGCUGGAGCACUGUAGAGGCAGGCGGAAUUCCGGGUGUAGCGGUGGAAUGCGUAGAGAUCCGGAAGAACACCAGUGGCGAAGGCGGCUAACUGGUCCGGUACUGACGCUGAGGUGCGAAAGCGUGGGGAGCAAACAGG